AUCUGCACUGUGAAGCUCUUAUGGUGACUUUUCACAGGCUCAACACAAAAUUUUUUCCUACACAGAUACUCAAGUACCAUCAUAUCUGCUGGGUCUGUGUCCCAAGUUGGACGGCUGUUUAUACUACUCCUUGGAAAAGUUAAAGUAUUGGAUAUAUUCAACUGGAAGGUUCAAGAGCAAAAACGGAACAAUGAAGUACAGUGGAAAAAACCCGAAUAGAGGUGUGCAAAACUGGAAUUUUCCCUGUUCUGAUUGUGGCAACUUGGUUAGGAGAUGUGUGCUGUCUUCUGGACUUCAUUGGCGUGGAUGAGAAAAGGAACACAAAAUUGACUCUCUUUCCUUUGCCCUCAUGAAAUUUCUAAGUUUAUCCUUGGAGUUGAGAAAUUUCACCAGGCUAGAUCUGAGUAUGUAUCUUCUUUUCUUUAAUCACACCUGGCACCCUUGGCGGGCAUACUUAAAAACUCAACUCUUUCAGACAGCAUAAGUUCCCUAUUCCUGGUCUAUGUGUUUCCUCUAAUGGCUUUUUUGUUACUUCUCAGAAUGCCUAUUGUUCCCUGGAUUUGUUCUCCAUUUCUCUGUUCUCACUCUUGAGUUCCUGUUCUUCAGAGGGUUCUUUGGUGUUAUGCGAAUUCUUGACAUUUGAUUUCCAUUAGCUCAGCUUCAAGCAUUCUUUAUUUCCUAUUUUUCUACUGAAUAACUUAAAUUCAAAAAUCAUGUUUAAAAUGAAUUGUUACAUUUUUAUUCUAUAUUGUUAUCCUGUAAUAUCUUCUUCCCUUAAAAUUUUCAUUCUGUAAAAUAUAUAAUUUUUAAAAUCACUACUGAAUAAGAUGAAACAAAUUUAACUUCUGAAGGCACAUUUCUGAAAUCAAAUCUUCAUUUUGCCAAUUACUAACUUUACUUUUUAUCCUUGGACCAGUGUUUCACCCUUCAAGAAAUGGUUAUGAGAAUUAAAUGAAAGACUGAGAAGCAAAGCUUGGCUCACAUUAGAUUUUUAAUAAAUUGAGUUACUUGCAUUAAAGAAACUGAAAA
Molecule: long non-coding RNA, 1029 nt
Filed under: Sus scrofa (pig)
Lineage: Eukaryota; Metazoa; Chordata; Mammalia; Artiodactyla; Suidae
Description: lncRNA (ENSSSCG00070016497.1)
Source: RNAcentral